AUUGAACGCUAGCGGCAUGCCUUACACAUGCAAGUCGAACGGUAACAGGUCUUCGGAUGCUGACGAGUGGCGAACGGGUGAGUAAUACAUCGGAACGUGCCCGAUCGUGGGGGAUAACGAAGCGAAAGCUUUGCUAAUACCGCAUACGAUCUACGGAUGAAAGCAGGGGACCGCAAGGCCUUGCGCGAACGGAGCGGCCGAUGGCAGAUUAGGUAGUUGGUGGGAUAAAAGCUUACCAAGCCGACGAUCUGUAGCUGGUCUGAGAGGACGACCAGCCACACUGAAACUGAGACCGGGCCCAGACUCCUACGGAAGGAAGCGGUGGGGAAUUUUGGACAAUGGGCGAAGGCCUGAUCCAGCCAUGCCGCGUGCAGAAUGAGGGCCUUGGGGUUGUAAACUGCUUUUGUAGGGAACGAAAAGACUCUGGUUAAUACCUGGGGUCCAGGACGGUACCGUAAGAAUAAGCACCGGCUACCUACGU
This 481-nucleotide ribosomal RNA is filed under the name uncultured bacterium. RNAcentral describes it as "partial 16S ribosomal RNA". It matches the Rfam family "Bacterial small subunit ribosomal RNA", at positions 30 to 506 of the family's 1533-position model. The record is from RNAcentral.